ACUUGCUGUAAAGGAGAAAUGUUACAAAGAAAUACAAUUUAAAUAUUGGCGUCUUUUAUUGCGGUCGUAAAAUCAUUAAAAAAUAGUAAAAAGCUAUUUAGAUUUAAUUAAACGAGUAUUUAACCCUUAGUUGACUAAGAAAUAUUUUAAGUUUUAAAAAUUUGGUAUUUACCAAGUGAAACCAGGUCGAUCUCCAAAUCCCAAGAGAGUGUAGGCUUUCCACUUCCUCUACAUCCACCAACGUUUACUAGAUCGAAUACUCUUACUAUUUUCUUCAACAAUAGAUAAAAUAAGUCAGAUGAUGAGAGACCAUCUUGUUGGGUACCGUACGGCCCGGAAAGCUCCUCUUAAAUUCUGACUGCUGCUGCUCUUCUGCUGUUGUUCAGCGUCAGUUUACACAGUCGUAUAAGUUUUGCAAAAUCACCAAAUUCAGUCAUAGCGGCGUUAAGGUGAAUGACUUUGCUAUAAAAGAAACCGCAGAGCAAGCUAAUAAAUCAGGAAGUGACAGGAAAAGCAUCAGCUUAUGGAGGUUGAUAGCCAGACGGCAAUUAAAUCUCACACCGCUUUACGUAACAAAAUGUCUUUAGAAGCAAGAAAGCAGUUUUUGAAAUGGGUGCAAGAAAGCAACGCCAUAUAUAUUGAGUUCCAGGCCCCGAGGCCAUUGUAGGGAACGAAAUAAUCGCCGAAAAUGAUCAUCUAGCUAUCAACCAACGCAUGAAAUUCAAAAGUCGCUAAAUAAACUGAAU
Molecule: long non-coding RNA, 746 nt
Organism: Ceratitis capitata (Mediterranean fruit fly)
Lineage: Eukaryota; Metazoa; Arthropoda; Insecta; Diptera; Tephritidae
Exons: 3
Source: RefSeq, a predicted model, not a curated record